UGGGGCGUCGCCAAGUGGUAAGGCACCGGGUUUUGAUCCCGGCAUUCGCAGGUUCGAAUCCUGCCGCCCCAG
Molecule: non-coding RNA, 72 nt
Organism: Rhodanobacter sp. SCN 66-43
Lineage: Bacteria; Pseudomonadati; Pseudomonadota; Gammaproteobacteria; Lysobacterales; Rhodanobacteraceae
Source: Rfam